RNAcentral lists this ribosomal RNA (499 nucleotides) under uncultured bacterium. Its description in RNAcentral is "partial 16S ribosomal RNA". It matches the Rfam family "Bacterial small subunit ribosomal RNA", at positions 28 to 507 of the family's 1533-position model. The record is from RNAcentral.
GACGAACGCUGGCGGCGUGCCUAAUACAUGCAAGUCGAGCGAAGUUUUUCUGGUGCUUGCACUAGAAAAACUUAGCGGCGAACGGGUGAGUAACACGUAAAAAACCUGCCUCAUAGACUGGGACAACUAUUGGAAACGAUAGCUAAUACCGGAUAACAGUAUUUCUCGCAUGAGAGAUAUUUAAAAGUUGGUUAUGCUAACACUAUGAGAUGGCUUUGCGGUGCAUUAGCUAGUUGGUGGGGUAAAGGCCCACCAAGGCGACGAUGCAUAGCCGACCUGAGAGGGUGAUCGGCCACACUGGGACUGAGACACGGCCCAGACUCCUACGGGAGGCAGCAGUAGGGAAUCUUCCGCAAUGGGCGAAAGCCUGACGGAGCAACGCCGCGUGAGUGAAGAAGGAUUUCGGUUCGUAAAGCUCUGUUGUUAGGGAAGAAUGGAUAUGUAGUAACUAUACAUGUAAGAGACGGUACCUAACCAGAAAGCCACGGCUAACUACGUG